RNAcentral lists this ribosomal RNA (492 nucleotides) under uncultured bacterium. RNAcentral describes it as "partial 16S ribosomal RNA". It matches the Rfam family "Bacterial small subunit ribosomal RNA", at positions 29 to 507 of the family's 1533-position model. The record is from RNAcentral.
AGUGAACGCUGGCGGUAGGCCUAACACAUGCAAGUCGAACGGCAGCACAGUAAGAGCUUGCUCUUACGGGUGGCGAGUGGCGGACGGGUGAGGAAUACAUCGGAAUCUACUUUUUCGGGGGGGAUAACGUAGGGAAACUUACGCUAAUACCGCAUACGACCUACGGGUGAAAGCAGGGGAUCUUCGGACCUUGCGCGAUUGAAUGAGCCGAUGUCGUAUUAGCUAGUGGGCGGGGUAAAGGCCCACCAAGGCGACGAUCCGUAGCGGGUCUGAGAGGAUGAUCGGCCACACUGGAACUGAGCCACGGUCCAGACUCCUACGGGAGGCAGAAGUGGGGAAUAUUGGCCAAUGGGCGCAAGCCUGCUCCAGCCAUACCGCGUGGGUGAAGAAGGCCUUCGGGUUGUAAAGCCCUUUUGUUGGGAAAGAAAAGCAGCAGGUUAAUACCCCGCUGUUCUGACGGUACCCAAAGAAUAAGCACCGGCUAACUUCGUG